GACGAACGCUGGCGGCGUGCUUAACACAUGCAAGUCGAACGGAAAGGCCCUGCUUUUGUGGGGUGCUCGAGUGGCGAAGGGGUGAGUAACACGUGAGUAACCUGCCCUUGACUUUGGGAUAACUUCAGGAAACUGGGGCUAAUACCGGAUAGGAGCUCCUGCUGCAUGGUGGGGGUUGGAAAGUUUCGGCGGUUGGGGAUGGACUGGCGGCUUAUCAGCUUGUUGGUGGGGUAGUGGCUUACCAAGGCUUUGACGGGUAGCCGGCCUGAGAGGGUGACCGGCCACAUUGGGACUGAGAUACGGCCCAGACUCCUACGGGAGGCAGCAGUGGGGAAUAUUGCACAAUGGGCGGAAGCCUGAUGCAGCAACGCCGCGUGCGGGAUGACGGCCUUCGGGUUGUAAACCGCUUUCGCCUGUGACGAAGCGUGAGUGACGGUAAUGGGUAAAGAAGCACCGGCUAACUACGUG
RNAcentral lists this ribosomal RNA (468 nucleotides) under uncultured bacterium. RNAcentral's name for it is "partial 16S ribosomal RNA". It matches the Rfam family "Bacterial small subunit ribosomal RNA", at positions 28 to 507 of the family's 1533-position model. The record is from RNAcentral.